RNAcentral lists this long non-coding RNA (8563 nucleotides) under Zostera marina. Its description in RNAcentral is "long non-coding RNA (ZMAR_LNC006058)". Lineage: Eukaryota; Viridiplantae; Streptophyta; Magnoliopsida; Alismatales; Zosteraceae. The record is from RNAcentral.
CCCAUUUAUUCCACCAACUAAUGUCCUCGAUUUCUUCCUCUUUUGCCUCAUCUUCUUCUUCAUGCGUCCUGCAAAAUUAAGCUUGCUCCGGUCAACAUUGAACUUGCUCUGAUGAUCGUCGAACAUGCUCCAUUCACCAUCGGACUUCCUUGGAGCUUUGUUAAGAUAGCAGUUCCUCUCCACAUGACCGAAGCAAGAGCAGAUUUCACAAUUUGGAGGGGUCGAAAGGACUCUAAUCUUAAGGUGCAUGAGAUUUUCCAACCCUUCUCUAAUCACCACUACCGGAAUUGUGUGCGGAAUAAAUUUCAAAAAAUCCACCAUGAUACAAGCUCGUAGUGCAUGCCCCCAUGGUGGAUGAACAUAUUCAACCUCUAAUGGGGUGCCCAGAGUGCUAAGUAUAGCCGAGAUGGCAUCCCUAGUCCACAUAGUUUCAACCAUUCCUGUGAUCAAGACCCAUUGCGGCACUCUACCAAAGUUAUCACCAUGUAAUACCUCCGAGGGUCUCUUGAGACAAUUAUUGGUUUGUCAUCAAUGAAUGAAUGCCCAAGAUCGAUCCGCAACUUUUAGGAAAUCUGGAACAGUAGUGAAGUGAAUACUGAAAGUGUCAUCCAUGUAGAGAUUGACUCUGAAAUCAGAUUGAAUAUCCCAUUUAUUCUUUAUUUAACAAUGCCGUCGACGCACGGAUGGGCUCUCUCCUAUGAUCCUGGUCAAUAGGGACAAAUACUCCUUAGUAGGUAGGGAAUUAUCCUCAUAGAUGAGAGCAUGCUUUAGGCUGAAUCUGAGCUUAGGAGCAAUGAAAUUCAAAGCUUUGUUGUCACCAAUCUCAGGGGAGGCUAUCUUCCACUUCCAGGCCAGAGCAGAAAAAAUAUUAUCCAUGAUCCUAAGAAUGAAACCACUGGGAAGAAACACAAAUUAAGGCCAGGGAGGGAUUCGCCGGAAUUUUAUCCCUCCAAGUAUACCGACUUGAGGGGAUAAGCAACACACCAAUAGAGGUGGUCGGAACUUCCAGUGAAGUAUCGUCACUAUCGUGUAUUUUCGGUGGAUGCCAGAGAGUACAAAGAAACUCUCAAGCAGGGGGAAGGAAAGCUAGUGAGAUCUUCCCUACCAAAUUUCGUCCACUUGAUAGGUCACACCUCAAAGAGAUGAGGAGGACCACUAGCCUUGGAAGGAUGGGAUUCCGGUUAUCAUCGGGGAAGAGGGUCACACAUGGCUCUCACAAGGGAAACUCUGUAAACCUGAUUUAGUAUUCCUUGGCCCAACCUUGUCGACUUUACUUACGAUUCUUAUUCCCGAUGCAUUCAGUGAUUCCUCCCAAUUUGCCUAUGGAAGAACCGGAUCUCCACAGGACCAGACUAUGGGUUUGCAAUCUAAACAUGUGUUAAUUAACCCCCUAUCUGAAAUGAGUGAUUUCAAAAAGUGUAAGUCUAUAGAGUCGUUCAUGGUGAUCUCGUUGAGGGCUCUCAUUAAUGUAUAUUUUCUAGAUCCAUUGCACCAAGAUGGAGUCAUUUUUCUACCAGAAGUUUGAGACAUUUUAAAUGUUAACUGGAGUGGUGAUUAUAGUAAGAUCCCUGGCCCUUAAAACACCCUUUUAAUGUUAACUACAGUGAUGAUUAUGGUAAGAUCCCUGACCUCUGUCUUAGGGAGUACCAUUUGAGACCCAGGAGAUUCCUUUCCUUUGUCUCAUAUGAAGAAGUUAUAGGUAAAUUUUUUUCUUUCUUCAUUAUGGAGGAGGAGAGAGCUAUACCCUAGGACCAAUAUGUGAAUUUACCAACUAUGAUCUGAUUGACUAGCUAGAUUCUACCCCCAUAGGAGAGACAUUUUCCAUCCAACAUUGUGAUAGGAAAAAUCCUAAAAUCGAACUGAGGAAAAAAAGAAAACACAAAUUUACGUAGUUCAGCAAUGUGCCUACGUCCACGGGAUACCUCCGCUAUUCUUCUCUUCCUCACAACAGAAUAGAAGCAUUACAAGAUAUUUAUAAUGGUGAUUAGGGUUGCCAAUUUCUGUUUGUAACUCCUAAUCAUCAUUACAAGGCCCAUUUAACAUAGAAUUAAACUUAUUUAAUUCUAAUGGAUCGUAAAGGCCUACAAUUAUAAUUCUAAUUACAAUUAAACUAGCAGCUCUAGUGGAGAAAACCGGAUGCCUUCCUAAGAGUCUCCACACUUCUAAUACUAACACAUUGGUUAUAAGAUUUCUUCCUCCCAAUGACAGGAAGUUCUAGGUAUGUGAUGGAGAGGUUUUUACUGUAAAGCCUAGAAUAUUGUGGACUGAUUGGUCUUUUCCACAGAUAUUAGAGAAAGUUGAUGAGCUCUUUCUAUUGUUGACUUCAAGUCCUGAGAUAUGGAUGAAAGACUCUAAGAGAGCUUUGAUGGAAUUAAGAAACUUGAGGUUGACCUUUGAGAAAAUAAGAACAUCAUCAGCAUAUAUCAAGUGUGUAAUGGAGGCAGCUCCAUUCACUUGAUAGGUAUCCAUCUUAGGUCCCUCACUUCCCUCUCUAUCAACGUAAUUAGGACAUUCAUCACCAUGUCAAAUAAGUUGGAAAAGAUAGAUAAGAUCAGGUCUCCUUGAUUCCUCUGAAGUUUUAGAGUUUUUGAAGGGGAGGGUCCUUCAAUUAAGAUAGAUAAUGUAGCAAAGGAGAUACAAUUCCGGAUUAUUUUGCAAAAUAGAAGGGAGAAGCCAUACCUCUAGGAUUGGAGAUGAUGGCAUCCCAUCUGAUAGUAUCAAAGGCUUUUCUGAAGUCAAUGCUCAAGCAACACUUUUUUAGAGUUAUCCUACUACCAAAUCCAUAGACCAUCACAUCUGCAGUACUAUUUGAGUUAUGUCUACCAUCAAUGAAGGUUUUUUGGUUAGGGGAAAUGAGUUGACAAGACAUCUUAGUAUCUUACUAAUUCUGACAGCUAAAAGUUUAGUUAGGACUUAGGAGUUUAUAUAUCAGAGUGACAUAAGAUAUGGGCCUAAAGUAGGAGGAUAUGGUUGGAAGAUUUUAGAAUGGGUUUUCCCCUAAAAAAUUAUGUGUCACGUUACAUAAUAACGCUUUUAAGCCAUCUGGCCCUGGGGAUUUGCCAGAGUUGAAAGAAAAUAAGGCACUUCUAACCUCCUCUUUCAAAAGUACCUAAGUCAACCACUCAUUUAUGGGUUAUGAGACAACUCUUGGGAUGGUGAAGGAAUGGCAGGGGGCUGAUACAACUUACAAGGGCACUGAAUAGGUUACUAAAGUAUCUUGUACUGUUUGCUUCUAAUUGUGCUCUAGUUGUAGUUGGAUUCCCUUCAGUGUUUAUUACAUUAAGGAUAGAGUUCUUAGGUUUUCUCAACCUAGUGGGCAAUGCUAAAGAAUCUUGUAUUCUUGUCCCAUAGGUUAAGUCGUGAAUCCUUGCUCUUUUGUUUGAGGUCUGCCUCCUCCUUACACAUGGGGUCCUUCAAUUUAUUUCUUAGAAAGAGUGAGAGAAUGUUUUAUUUUGUAGGUGAAUAGAAAGGGGAUUACUCUCAAGGUUCCUGACAUAGAUAUUUAGGUCCAUAGUUUUAAAAGCGGUAAAGCGCUCCCAUUUUCCAGGGAGCGCUUUUUUAGCUUUGAGCGCUUUAGCGUGCUUAAAGCUAAAAAAGCAGUAGUGGCAUUUUCGUAAAUAUUUGCAUAUACCCCUGUAUUAUUUUUUUUCAAAUCCUAUAAAUAUUAUUUUUUUUCAAAUAUAUACCCCUGUUAUUACACGUUUACUGUAAACGUGUCAUUUAUUACACAUAGAUGAACAACAUCAGUUUGCGGUGUAAAUUUGUUGUGGAAUUUACAAACUCACUGAGCUCAUCAGCUUCUACACUGAGCCAAUCCGGACAUCUUCAUCUCCUUCAGCAACAGCUUUCUCUCUGUGUUAUCAUGCUUCAACACUCUUAGAAUUGCUGAUAAGAUCUGUUGCUUCUGAUCUUUGUCCUUCCUAAACCCUGCAACAUCUUCUGAUACCUUCUUCACUAUUUUGAUGGCCUCAUUUUUCUUCUGAAGUGCUUCAUCUAGUUCAAGUUUCAUGCAAAACCUGAUGACCCGACCUGCCAACCCGACCCACUAACACACUAGAAAAAAGCGAUUGGAAAAGCGCUCAUGAAGAAGCGCUUUUCCUCUUUAAGCUAUUAAAGCGGCGCUUUAAAAACUAUGUUUAGGUCAAUUAUGGUAUGAGCUACUAAUUUAUCUGAAUGUUUAAAGUUUAAACAAAAUUUUAACCUUCUUGAGUAUUUUGUUGCAACUUCAAAGUUCAGUGCCUCUAAAAAGUUUUGAGAGACAAGUCCUUAUCAAAUCUAUGUAUGAGGUGUCAUCAAGGCAUGAAUUAUACAAUCUAAAAGGUUUUAAGACUUUUGCCCCUUUUUCCAUUUGUGAAGUGGUUAUCACUAAACCCAUUACGAAACUCAACUAUUGCACAAUAGCAAAGGCUCUAUUCAACAAAGUUAACAAAGGCUCUAUUCCAGCUUAGUUUGUGUGAAAUUUGGGCCAGGUAAUUUAUUAAUCAAGGUGAAUUCUCCACCAAUGGAGACUAAUUCAUGGAGGUGUACCAUAUUGGUUGUUAGAGUGAAUUCAGCAAGACCACCAUGGUUAUAGAAGACAUGUUCCCAUUCUCUCCUUAGGAGAUCUGAUCUCAUUAAAGUCCCCUCCAACAGCCAAGGAGUUGUGGAGAUGAGACCAAUUUAUUGGAGGAGGUUCCAAAGGAAUCCUCUACCUACCCUGGAAUUUUCCCUAUAUAUAGGAGUAAAAUACAUUAACAACCAUUUUAUGUUUAUUAACUUUAGAAGGAUGUACUGAGGGUGGGAGAUUAAUAUGAGGGGUCAUAAUUGCUAUAGGAAUCCAUCCCAGUCUGAACCAAAUACAUCCCUGAUUGACUUGGUCUUUUGUGGCUUAAUUUUUGUUACCAGUAUUGAGAAAACAUCUAUGGAUUUUGAUCUCACUAAUUCCUUUAUAUCCACAUGGGAUUGAAAGAAAUAUAAACCCCUAAUGUUCCAAAUUAGGAAAGUCGUUAGGAGGGUUGGGCUUUCCUUAUGAAGAGGGCACUAGGGUCUCUAUUAUCCAGUGCGGAAUUAUCUGCACCUAUCAUAAAUUGGGCUUCCUAAGCCUGAUAAUGUAUCUCCUUUGAGAUCUACUUAUUUGAUCCCUAAAAUUUGUUGUGUCAGUUACCCAACAUGUGUUCAUAAUUAUUCUAAGUGAUAACGAUGGAAGAGCAACCCUAGGUUUGUUUGAUAUUGGUUUGCAUUCUGGUUGUCUUCCCUUCUUUUUAUUGGUCUCCUACAUCCCUGCCUCUGAUGACUUGCAUUUCUCUGUGUGUGAUUCAAGGUUCCAGAUGCGCCUCUGCGCGAUGUGCCACCACCUAGAGCACUUGAGCAUAUGCGCGCAGAUGCGUCAGUGCAUUUUCGUAAAUAUAUAUAAAACUAAAGGAAAUUCAUAUAUUUUUUUAUAUAUCUAAACUAUAUCAAUUAAAUUUUUUAGUUAAAAAUAUAUUGGAUAGAAAAUUUAUUAUAAUACAUAUAUUUAUUAAUUAUCAUAACACCCUAUAAUUCAUUGUAACACCAAGGUUUAAAAACCGAUAGGGGUAUUUUCGUAAUAAUAUAACUCUUUAAAUGGCUAGGGUUUCUUUAAACUUAUAAAAGAUAGGCUUUUAUAAAAAUAAAAUAAUAAAUAACCCAAGAGGAGCUUAUAUUAAGAAUAAUAUAGCUCUUUUCAUGGACCAAUGUAUUUAUAAGGUCUUAAAAUAUUUUUUUUUUUUGCCUUUGUUUAAAUAACAACAAAACCCUGUUUUAAGUUAUUUAAACAACUUAAAACAGGCCUGGAUCCGGGUCGAAUUCUCCCAGUAGGGUCGCACCUGCGCAUAUGCGCGCGCACCCGGAACCUUGGUGUGAUUCAUUGUUGUUCAACCAUUGGAGCUCUCUAUCAUGUGGUCCUAAAGUGCAGAUCUUGUGUGUAAUUCCAUACUUCUGAAAUGCUUCCAUAUUUUGGUCACUUCAGCCAUUCCUGCAAUGCUUAUUUCAGCGGGUUUCACAAUAAUUCCACUUAGCUAAUCACUACGCCUCAAUCUACCUGAACUAAUGAGUUGGACAGAAAUAAGAUCUAUACAAGGGAGAGAAAUUGUACUGUGCUAUCUCAAUGAGCUUUGUAGAUGGAAAUUGUGAUAAGGGUGGGUGGAAAAGACACGGGUAUGGAUAUUUUUCCAUCUUUUCAUUGUUUUCUCAUGUUUCUCCGUGAAAAACCCACCCACCAGUUCAACUUCCUUCUUUUUUCAGGCUCUAAAUCUAAUUUGGCCAAACGAAAACCUAAUAUUCACCUUUGCAAUGUUUACCUUUCAACUUUGAGGAUGGUACUCCAGUGAGAGGAGCCUCGUCGAAGCUAUCUUCGUUGGGGGGAACUUGGAGAUUCAAAAAAUCACCAUGUUUUAUUUUCUAGUUAUGCUCAUCCUCAAACUAGCAUGUGGGGUUUGUACCACAUGAAUCCAUAUUGUAGAAUUUAGGAGUUAGGACUUUUGUAAUUAUGAGCAAAAUCUUCCUUGUAUACUUACAGUUGAAGUAUAGGUGCCCCAGGGUUUCCUCCUCUCUUGCUAACAGUAGACACGAACUUUAGGUACAUUCCAUAAAUUCCCCAUAUCUCCAGUUUUAAAAAAUUGUUGAAAAAUACCAUUUUAUUCUCCAUAAAAGUACUAAAAAAUAGUUACAACUUUUGACCAUAUACCCAGUACCCUUAGCGAGAGGGACUAAAUGUCCUUUCAAUUGUAGUCAUUCUGUAAAGGAGAAGUUGGUCUUCAGUACUGCCGUGUAAUUGAUUCUAUAGUCCACACAGUAUAAUGAGGUUUUUCUUGAAUAGAAGAUCCCUCCACAUUGAUGAGUGUGUUCCUUAGCUUAAUACAGUCAGCUAGUAUAAUACUCUCAAGAUUACAGAAUUUUUCUUUUCACAAUUGUAACAUUGUUUUCUACUUUCCUGGCAAGAAAUCCCUCACCACUAGGCCUUCCUCAACAUUGGGUAGAAUCAUUUCCACCCAUGAUAUAGAUUUCCUUCCCCUCCAAAUGAAAUUAUAUGCUAACGUUUGAACCUUCUUAAUAAUUGAUUUGGGAAUGGUAGUAUCUUGUGCUCAAUAUGAAAACUUUCUAACGAUUAUCUAAUUAACCAAUUUGACUCCACCACUAUAGAAUAAACACCUACCACUACAUCUUGAGAGCAUUUUCUCUAUGGAUUCAAUUGAUUUCCAAUACUGUGACUAAAUAUUUUCUUCCUCUUUGAUAUGGAACUUUGAGGAAUUAGGAAAGGUUCGUUUUCCAUACAUGGAAAAUAUUGCUAAGCACUUCUCUCAUCUAAGAGGAUCUCUCCAAUGGAGGUGCUGGAAAACCAUUCCCAUCCUCUAAAAGCUUAGCUCUAUCUCAUAUUACUGGCCGUUCCCAUUCCAGAAUGAGAAAGAACAGUCGCAACAUAUUUGAUGUGUUCUAGAGGAACAUAUGAGAAAAAAGAGGGAUUGUGAAAGUAAUUAAUAUAUUAGUGAUACUUAUGACUUAAAUCUGAUUUCAGUUAAAGUAUUUUUCCCACUGCUAAUACUUGUAAAGCCCUCCAUUCCUUGCAAAUCAUGUGUCACUUGGCUCAUUUGAUGGGAGAGGAACCAUAGCCUCAAAUUGAAUGAGUCAAUGGAUUGGGAGAGGAACCAUAUGUAAUUGUUUGUUGUCAAUAUAAGUGUCAUCUCAGAACAGAACUACACCAGAACCCGAAGAAGACAUCAGAAUUGGAAAUUACAUAGAAGCAGUUGAAAGAUUUAAACCUACAGGAAAGUUGUUGGGAGAGUACAUUGGGAAACCCUAGGAUCAAUCUCAUGGCACAUCUGGUCAGAAAGGAAUUGGAAGUUGAAACAACACACACUAUGCAUUGUUGGUACAGGGGACUUACCCUUGUGUCUGAUAAUCGAAGUGAUCAGUGGAUUGCUGGUAUUUCUCACGCAAGAAAACAAGAGAAACGCAACUAGUGUACUUGCCUUGAUUAGAAGGAUUGACAUGAACACCUAAUGUAUCAUGUAUCUAAAUGUAAAAUAGUUUAUAUAUUUAAUACAAAAUUUUAUUAUAAAAAUAAACAGAAGAACAAAAUUCAUAUAAAAGUAUAAAACUUGGCUUUAAAUAAAAACAGUGAAGAAAAUAGAAAUAUAAUUCAGAAAAAAACAAUGAGAUUGGUGAAAUAACACUAAUUUUAAAUAAAUAGAAGAACAUGUAUUUUAAAUUUCAGACAAAUAAAUUGGAGAAAAGUAGAAAACUCAUUUACAAAUGACAUUGAUAAAACCAGUUAAGCCACAAUAAAAAAACAAUUGUUAUUAUUUUUGCAUGCUUGAUUGAUGGAAUUGUUUGUCACUUUGUCCAUUUUAAAUAUUACUUCUGAAAAUGUAAUGAUAUAAUACCAUGAAGGCGACUUGAUAUGUGACCCUUGUUGACAGGAAAACAGCUAUCAGCAAGAGUCUGCAUUCAAAAUUAAGAAUUAUUUCUUUUAUAAAAUAUUGGAGAUUGAAAACCAUCAUCAGAAACUCCUAAAUGAGAUAUACGGCAAUUUUGGAAUUUUGUACGAAGAAGAAAAGUUAAAGAG